RNAcentral lists this ribosomal RNA (406 nucleotides) under uncultured bacterium. Its description in RNAcentral is "partial 16S ribosomal RNA". It matches the Rfam family "Bacterial small subunit ribosomal RNA", at positions 30 to 526 of the family's 1533-position model. The record is from RNAcentral.
AUUGAACGCUGGCGGCAGGCCUAACACAUGCAAGUCGAGCGAGCGGCGGACGGGUGAGUAAUGUCUGGGAAACUGCCCGAUGGAGGGGGAUAACUACUGGAAACGGUAGCUAAUACCGCAUACCAUCGGAUGUGCCCAGAUGGGAUUAGCUAGUAGGUGGGGUAAAGGCUCACCUAGGCGACGAUCUCUAGCUGGUCUGAGAGGAUGACCAGCCACACUGGAACUGAGACACGGUCCAGACUCCUACGGGAGGCAGCAGUGGGGAAUAUUGCACAAUGGGCGCAAGCCUGAUGCAGCCAUGCCGCGUGUGUGAAGAAGGCCUUCGGGUUGUAAAGCACUUUCAGCGAGGAGGCGUUACUCGCAGAAGAAGCACCGGCUAACUCCGUGCCAGCAGCCGCGGUAAUAC